GGAGGAAGGUGGGGAUGACGUCAAGUCAUCAUGGCCCUUACGACCAGGGCUACACACGUGCUACAAUGGCGCAUACAAAGAGAAGCGACCUCGCGAGAGCAAGCGGACCUCAUAAAGUGCGUCGUAGUCCGGAUUGGAGUCUGCAACUCGACUCCAUGAAGUCGGAAUCGCUAGUAAUCGUGGAUCAGAAUGCCACGGUGAAUACGUUCCCGGGCCUUGUACACACCGCCCGUCACACCAUGGGAGUGGGUUGCAAAAGAAGUAGGUAGCUUAACCUUCGGGAGGGCGCUUACCACUUUGUGAUUCAUGACUGGGGUGAAGUCGUAACAAGGUAACCGUAGGGGAACCUGCGGUUGGAUCACCUCCUUACCUGAAAGAAGC
RNAcentral lists this ribosomal RNA (381 nucleotides) under Salmonella enterica subsp. enterica serovar Alachua. RNAcentral describes it as "bacterial SSU rRNA". It matches the Rfam family "Bacterial small subunit ribosomal RNA", at positions 1165 to 1533 of the family's 1533-position model. The record is from RNAcentral. Lineage: Bacteria; Pseudomonadati; Pseudomonadota; Gammaproteobacteria; Enterobacterales; Enterobacteriaceae.